AACGCACAUUGCGCCUUAUGGUAUUCCAUAAGGCAUGCCUGUCUGAGCGUCAGCUCCCCCCCACUCAAGCUCUUUUGCUUGGAAUCUUAGAAAAGCAGUCUAUCUGCCUUCUAUAAAUUCAUAGGCAGUAUGGUUUCUUCCAGACUCGACGUCAUAAUUCAAAAAAGCGUCUUAUUUGGAGUUAUCGUAUUCGCCUUUAACCCACCCUUUUUUUUUACUUGGGUGACCUCAGAUCAGGUAGGGAUACCCGCUGAACUUAA
Molecule: unclassified non-coding RNA, 260 nt
Filed under: uncultured Peziza
Lineage: Eukaryota; Fungi; Ascomycota; Pezizomycetes; Pezizales; Pezizaceae
Description: sequence contains ITS2
Rfam family: 5.8S ribosomal RNA (bases 1-52)
Source: RNAcentral